AAGAAAGGGGAAACAAAGUUUAUAAUAUAGUGCUCGAGAUUACAAAGCAAGGUUUCAAAGAUCAAAUUUGUAUCGGGAUAGACAAGGAGAUGGGCCGACUGCAAUGGAUGGAAGCGAUGCUGCCAUUAGGGAUCAUCGCCGGUAUGCUUUGCAUUGCCGGAAAUGUUCAGUAUACCAUUCACAAAGCUGCUCAUGGACGUCCGAAGCACAUCGGUAAUGAUAUGUGGGAUGUGGCCAUGGAAAGACGGGACAAGAAGAUCGUCGACGAAAAACUCUCUCCUGCUGCUAAUUAGGGUUGGUUGGUGUUUUUCUGGAGUUAAUGUAAUGACACGACGUCCCUUAAUGUUUCUAAAACUUGAAUUUGCAUCUGUAGCAUGUAAUUCAAUAGCAGGGAAUUCUGCAUGAUCAACAUAUCUCAUUAAAGUUGAAAGGUCACUUUAUAGGAUGUUGAGUGACUAGUACGUAAGGGGGGUGUGUGUAGUCAAAAAGCGAAUGUCGGUGACGGUUAUGUGGCCAUGAACUGAAGGAUAAGAUUAGAAAUAACGCUAUAAUUCUAUUUGGUGUUAUUAAGAUUCCAUAGUAUUCUGUAAUAUGUU
This is an RNA transcript of Cynara cardunculus var. scolymus (artichoke), 596 nucleotides long. It is a transcript of the gene named NADH dehydrogenase [ubiquinone] 1 alpha subcomplex subunit 1, with no coding region annotated. The record is from RefSeq and is a predicted model, not a curated record. The transcript has 4 exons. Lineage: Eukaryota; Viridiplantae; Streptophyta; Magnoliopsida; Asterales; Asteraceae.